Molecule: ribosomal RNA, 451 nt
Filed under: uncultured bacterium
Lineage: Bacteria
Description: partial 16S ribosomal RNA
Rfam family: Bacterial small subunit ribosomal RNA
Source: RNAcentral
AGCGAACGCUGGCGGCAGGCUUAACACAUGCAAGUCGAGCGGGCAUAGCAAUAUGUCAGCGGCAGACGGGUGAGUAACGCGUGGGAACGUACCUUUUGGUUCGGAACAACACAGGGAAACUUGUGCUAAUACCGGAUAAGCCCUUACGGGGAAAGAUUUAUCGCCGAAAGAUCUGCCCGCGUCUGAUUAGCUAGUUGGUGAGGUAAUGGCUCACCAAGGCGACGAUCAGUAGCUGGUCUGAGAGGAUGAUCAGCCACAUUGGGACUGAGACACGGCCCAAACUCCGACGGGAGGCAGCAGUGGGGAAUAUUGGACAAUGGGCGCAAGCCUGAUCCAGCCAUGCCGCGUGAGUGAUGAAGGCCCUAGGGUUGUAAAGCCCUUUUGUGCGGGAAGAUAAUGACGGUACCGCAAGAAUAAGCCCCGGCUAACUUCGUGCCAGCCGCCGCCGUAA